RNAcentral lists this ribosomal RNA (253 nucleotides) under uncultured bacterium. Its description in RNAcentral is "partial 16S ribosomal RNA". It matches the Rfam family "Bacterial small subunit ribosomal RNA", at positions 524 to 776 of the family's 1533-position model. The record is from RNAcentral.
UACGAAGGGGGCUAGCGUUGCUCGGAAUCACUGGGCGUAAAGCGCACGUAGGCGGCUUUGUAAGUUAGAGGUGAAAGCCCAGGGCUCAACCCUGGAAUUGCCUUUAAGACUGCAUCGCUUGAAUCAUGGAGAGGUGAGUGGAAUUCCGAGUGUAGAGGUGAAAUUCGUAGAUAUUCGGAAGAACACCAGUGGCGAAGGCGACUCACUGGACAUGUAUUGACGCUGAGGUGCGAAAGCGUGGGGAGCAAACAGG